GACGAACGCUGGCGGCGUGCUUAACACAUGCAAGUCGAACGAAGAGCGACGGAAGCUUGCUUCUAUCAAUCUUAGUGGCGAACGGGUGAGUAACGCGUAAUCAACCUGCCCUUCAGAGGGGGACAACAGUUGGAAACGACUGCUAAUACCGCAUACGAUCUAACCUCGGCAUCGAGGAUAGAUGAAAGGUGGCCUCUACAGGUAAGCUAUCACUGAAGGAGGGGAUUGCGUCUGAUUAGCUAGUUGGAGGGGUAACGGCCCACCAAGGCGAUGAUCAGUAGCCGGUCUGAGAGGAUGAACGGCCACAUUGGGACUGAGACACGGCCCAGACUCCUACGGGAGGCAGCAGGGGGGAAUCUUCCGCAAUGGACGAAAGUCUGACGGAGCAACGCCGCGGGAGGGAUGACGGCCUUCGGGUUGUAAAGCUCUGUUAAUCGGGACGAAAGGCCUUCUUGCGAAUAGUGAGAAGGAUUGACGGUACCGGAAUAGAAAGCCACGGCUAACUACGUG
Molecule: ribosomal RNA, 510 nt
Filed under: uncultured bacterium
Lineage: Bacteria
Description: partial 16S ribosomal RNA
Rfam family: Bacterial small subunit ribosomal RNA
Source: RNAcentral